RNAcentral lists this unclassified non-coding RNA (412 nucleotides) under soil metagenome. RNAcentral describes it as "partial contains 5.8S ribosomal RNA, internal transcribed spacer 2, and large subunit ribosomal RNA". The stretch from base 1 to 122 matches the Rfam family "5.8S ribosomal RNA", at positions 35 to 154 of the family's 154-position model. The record is from RNAcentral.
GAUGAAGAGCGUAGCGAAAUGCGAUACUUGGUGUGAAUUGCAGAAUCCCGUGAACCAUCGAGUCUUUGAACGCAAGUUGCGCCCGAAGCCGUCAGGCCGAGGGCACGCCUGCCUGGGCGUCACACGCCGUUGCCCCCCCGCGCCCCGCACCCAACUCUUUGGGAGCGACCGCGGGGCGGGCUGAUGAUGGCCUCCCGUGCGCUCCGCCGCGCGGUUGGCCCAAAUACCGAGUCCCCGGCGACGUGCGCCACGACGAUCGGUGGUUGAGAGACCUCUGUCGCAAGUCGUGCGCGCCCGUCGCGUCACGCGGGCUCGCAUAGCGCCUCGCGCCGCACCCGGUGCGGAGCUUUCAACGCGACCCCAGGUCAGGCGGGGUUACCCGCUGAAUUUAAGCAUAUCAAUAAGCGGAGGA